This 609-nucleotide ribosomal RNA is filed under the name Triticum aestivum (bread wheat). RNAcentral describes it as "partial small subunit ribosomal RNA". The record is from RNAcentral. Lineage: Eukaryota; Viridiplantae; Streptophyta; Magnoliopsida; Poales; Poaceae.
AUGAAGGUUUCUUCUGCCGCCUUCUCGUGUCGUUCUUCGCCCAGCCUCCGCUUGAUCUGGGACUCGGAUAGAGGCCAGCCGGAUGGAUAUUGCGAUCUGUACACUGCUGACCCGGACAGCCAAGGUUUCACAGUGUAUGAAGAAGAAGACUGCGGUUAUCUCCUGCAGCGUCUGGCAGUUGAAGGUUGCAUCGGCAAAGACGGCAAGCUGCUGGAGCCGCUGGCGCCUCUUCCGGUUGCUGUGGCUGAAAAGAUCUUCGAUGCUGUGAGGUUGCCCAAACGCGACUUUGAUUUUCAUCAGACACUUUUGACUGCCUUUGAGAUGUCUCAAAUCACCGAGUAUGAUUUGUUUCAACGGUAUGACAUACUGGAAUCUGCUGGAGAAUUAUUUCUAGUUCUUAAGGAACAGCAUCGCUUGAAGGUCUUCAGGAUCAACACUGACAGAAUUGUGCUUGAGCCUGUUGAGAGCAUCGGCAGCCGUGCAUUCUUUCUCGGUCGACGGGGCAGGUACAUGUCUGUGGAUGCAGACAAGUUCCCAUCUGUUGAUGCCAAUUGCAUAUACUAUGUGAACUCGACAUUUUCAACAUGUGACAUCUACAAGUAUAUAUGA